CUGAAACUCGCCUACAUGAAGCUGGAGUUACUAGUAAUCGCAGAUCAGAAUGCUGCGGUGAAUGCGUUCCCGGGUCUUGUACACACCGCCCGUCACACCACGGAAGUUGGGGGCGCCCGAAGCCACUUAGCUAACCCAUUUGGGAAGCGAGUGUCGAAGGUGAAAUCAAUAACUGGGGUGAAGUCGUAACAAGGUAAC
This 198-nucleotide ribosomal RNA is filed under the name uncultured bacterium. RNAcentral's name for it is "partial 16S ribosomal RNA". It matches the Rfam family "Bacterial small subunit ribosomal RNA", at positions 1305 to 1500 of the family's 1533-position model. The record is from RNAcentral.